RNAcentral lists this ribosomal RNA (393 nucleotides) under uncultured bacterium. Its description in RNAcentral is "partial 16S ribosomal RNA". It matches the Rfam family "Bacterial small subunit ribosomal RNA", at positions 523 to 918 of the family's 1533-position model. The record is from RNAcentral.
AUACGGAGGAUCCGAGCGUUAUCCGGAUUUAUUGGGUUUAAAGGGAGCGUAGGCGGACGCUUAAGUCAGUUGUGAAAGUUUGCGGCUCAACCGUAAAAUUGCAGUUGAUACUGGGUGUCUUGAGUACAGUAGAGGCAGGCGGAAUUCGUGGUGUAGCGGUGAAAUGCUUAGAUAUCACGAAGAACUCCGAUUGCGAAGGCAGCUUGCUGGACUGUAACUGACGCUGAUGCUCGAAAGUGUGGGUAUCAAACAGGAUUAGAUACCCUGGUAGUCCGCACAGUAAACGAUGAAUACUCGCUGUUUGCGAUAUACUGCAAGCGGCCAAGCGAAAGCGUUAAGUAUUCCACCUGGGGAGUACGCCGGCAACGGUGAAACUCAAAUGAAUUGACGGGG